This 76-nucleotide transfer RNA is filed under the name Aquifex aeolicus. Its description in RNAcentral is "tRNA-Ala". It matches the Rfam family "tRNA". From Rfam's summary of the family: Transfer RNA (tRNA) molecules are approximately 80 nucleotides in length. Their secondary structure includes four short double-helical elements and three loops (D, anti-codon, and T loops). Lineage: Bacteria; Pseudomonadati; Aquificota; Aquificia; Aquificales; Aquificaceae. The record is from RNAcentral. RNAcentral also lists the same sequence under 1 other name.
GGGGCCGUAGCUCAGUUGGGAGAGCGCCGAUAUGGCAUGUCGGAGGUCACGGGUUCAAGUCCCGUCGGCUCCACCA